RNAcentral lists this ribosomal RNA (465 nucleotides) under Vreelandella stevensii. Its description in RNAcentral is "partial 16S ribosomal RNA". It matches the Rfam family "Bacterial small subunit ribosomal RNA", at positions 338 to 795 of the family's 1533-position model. Lineage: Bacteria; Pseudomonadati; Pseudomonadota; Gammaproteobacteria; Oceanospirillales; Halomonadaceae. The record is from RNAcentral.
CCUACGGGUGGCAGCAGUGGGGAAUAUUGGACAAUGGGGGGAACCCUGAUCCAGCCAUGCCGCGUGUGUGAAGAAGGCCCUCGGGUUGUAAAGCACUUUCAGUGAGGAAGAACGCCUGGUGGUUAAUACCCAUCAGGAAAGACAUCACUCACAGAAGAAGCACCGGCUAACUCCGUGCCAGCAGCCGCGGUAAUACGGAGGGUGCGAGCGUUAAUCGGAAUUACUGGGCGUAAAGCGCGCGUAGGUGGCUUGAUAAGCCGGUUGUGAAAGCCCCGGGCUCAACCUGGGAACGGCAUCCGGAACUGUCAAGCUAGAGUGCAGGAGAGGAAGGUAGAAUUCCCGGUGUAUCGGUGAAAUGCGUAGAGAUCGGGAGGAAUACCAGUGGCGAAGGCGGCCUUCUGGACUAACACUGACACUGAGGUGCGAAAGCGUGGGUAGCAAACAGGAUUAGAUACCCUGGUAGUC